ACAAUCCAUGGCUAAUUCUAAAUUACACACGUGAGUUUUGCCUUUUUUGUUCUUGUUGGCCAAUUGAAAAUAGUCACAAUCUCAGAUUUCUAGUAUUUUAUAUUAGAGCUUGUACAUGUGUUGUUUAAUCUGCAGGCUCAUCAGCCAAGCCAUCCUUUUGGAUUUUGGUAGACAUAAUGGAGUAUAUUCAGCCACAUUGCUUGUAGCCAAAACAAGUACUCGAAGAAAAAGUCAAUGAUGUGGUGCAAGAAGUGUGAGAACUUCAGUUUCUUAUAGCUGGUAGAUCUCCACGUGAUAGCUCUGGUGAAAUCUAGCAUGAUCAAGUAAAUUGGUCUCAUACAUUGUUUUUCUAUGCUCUUAUACUUUGUGCCAAUUUAUUUACACAGACUAACUUCAAUAAAUUACUCAAUGUUUUUGUAGGACUGGCAGUGCACAGUAAUAUAGGAGCGUCAAGAGGCAUUGUUAUGGCUGAUGAAGAAUGAUCCAUUCAAACAACAAUGGUGUCCCUCAAUCGAAGAUUAAUAAAUAUAAUGUUUUCUAGUUGUCUCGCUUUCCAGUUAGAUAUGAGCAAGUAUGUGGUCAUACAAGGAGUGUUUUAUAAUUCCAGAAUUAUAUGUCAGAAUUUUGUUAACUUAUAUGAUUUCUAUUAAUGAAAGAGGCUAUGAUCUUUUUCAAUUCACAUUAUUUUGUUUUCAU
RNAcentral lists this long non-coding RNA (696 nucleotides) under Triticum aestivum (bread wheat). RNAcentral describes it as "long non-coding RNA (TAES_LNC018971)". The record is from RNAcentral. Lineage: Eukaryota; Viridiplantae; Streptophyta; Magnoliopsida; Poales; Poaceae.